RNAcentral lists this ribosomal RNA (699 nucleotides) under uncultured marine archaeon. Its description in RNAcentral is "bacterial SSU rRNA". It matches the Rfam family "Archaeal small subunit ribosomal RNA", at positions 102 to 802 of the family's 1478-position model. The record is from RNAcentral.
AGUCAACCUACCCUAUGGACGGGAAUAAUCUCGGGAAACUGAGGAUAAUUCCAGAUAGAACACUAUGCCUGGAACGGUUUGUGUUCCAAAUGAUUUAUCGCCGUAGGAUGGGACUGCGUCCUAUCAGUUUGUUGGUGAGGUAAUGGCCCACCAAGACUAUUACAGGUACGGGCUCUGAGAGGAGUAGCCCGGAGAUGGGUACUGAGACACGGACCCAGGCCCUAUGGGGCGCAGCAGGCGAGAAAACUUUGCAAUGUGCGAAAGCACGACAAGGUUAAUCCGAGUGGUUCCUGCUAAAGGAACCUUUUGACGGUCCUAAAAACACCGUUGAAUAAGGGGUGGGCAAGUUCUGGUGUCAGCCGCCGCGGUAAAACCAGCACCUCAAGUGGUCAGGAUGAUUAUUGGGCCUAAAGCAUCCGUAGCCGGCUCUGUGAGUUUUCGGUUAAAUCUGUGCGCUCAACGUACAGGCUGCCGGGAAUACUGCAGAGCCAGGGAGUGGGAGAGGUAGACGGUACUUGGUAGGAAGGGGUAAAAUCCUUUGAUCUAUUGAUGACCACCUGUGGCGAAGGCGGUCUACCAGAACACGUCCGACGGUGAGGGAUGAAAGCUGGGGGAGCAAACCGGAUUAGAUACCCGGGUAGUCCCAGCUGUAAACCAUGCAAACUCAAUGAUGCAUUGGCUUGAAGCCAAUGCAGUGUU